AACGAACGCUGGCGGCAUGCCUAACACAUGCAAGUCGAACGAUGCCUCCGGGCUUAGUGGCGCACGGGUGCGUAAAGGGGGGGAAUCUGCCUUUCGGUUCGGAAUAACUCAGGGGAACGUGAGCUAAUACCGGAUAACGUCGCAAGACCAAAGAUUUAUCUCCGAAAGAUGAGCCCGAGUAGGAUUCGCUAGUUGGUGAGGUAAAGGCGCACCAAGGCGACGCUCCUUAGCUGGUCAGAGAGGAAGAGCAGCCACACUGGGGCUGGGACACGGCCCAGACUCCUACGGGAGGGAGCAGUGGGGGAUCCUGGCCAGUGGGGGGCAGCAUGAUCCGGCUCUGCCGGGUGAGUGAUGAAGUCCGUAGAGUUGUCCAGUUCUUUUAUCCGCGAAGAUAAUGACGGUACCGGAAGAAUAAGCCCCGGCUAACUCCGUG
Molecule: ribosomal RNA, 433 nt
Filed under: uncultured bacterium
Lineage: Bacteria
Description: partial 16S ribosomal RNA
Rfam family: Bacterial small subunit ribosomal RNA
Source: RNAcentral